GGGGCUGUAGCUCAGUGGCAGAGCACUCGCCUAGCACAUGUGAGGCACUGGGUUCGAUCCUCAGCACCA
Molecule: transfer RNA, 69 nt
Filed under: Ictidomys tridecemlineatus (thirteen-lined ground squirrel)
Lineage: Eukaryota; Metazoa; Chordata; Mammalia; Rodentia; Sciuridae
Description: Spermophilus tridecemlineatus (thirteen-lined ground squirrel) tRNA
Rfam family: tRNA
About the family: Transfer RNA (tRNA) molecules are approximately 80 nucleotides in length. Their secondary structure includes four short double-helical elements and three loops (D, anti-codon, and T loops).
Source: Rfam by way of RNAcentral